This 875-nucleotide ribosomal RNA is filed under the name uncultured Candidatus Cenarchaeaceae thaumarchaeote. Its description in RNAcentral is "bacterial SSU rRNA". It matches the Rfam family "Archaeal small subunit ribosomal RNA", at positions 21 to 903 of the family's 1478-position model. The record is from RNAcentral. Lineage: Archaea; Thermoproteati; Nitrososphaerota; Candidatus Cenarchaeales; Candidatus Cenarchaeaceae.
CCUGACUGCUAUCGGAUUGAUACUAAGCCAUGCGAGUCUUUGUAGCAAUACAAGGCAGACGGCUCAGUAACACGUAGUCAAUCUAACCUAUGGACGGGGAUAACCUCGGGAAACUGAGAAUAAUACCCGAUAGAUCAUUAUGCCUGGAAUGGUUUAUGGUCCAAAUGAUUCGUCGCCGUAGGAUGGGACUGCGUUCUAUCAGCUUGUUGGUGAGGUAAUGGCCCACCAAGGCUAUAACAGAUACGGGCUCUGAGAGGAGAAGCCCGGAGAUGGGUACUAAGACACGGACCCAGGCCCUAUGGGGCGCAGCAGGCGAGAAAACUUUGCAAUGUGCGAAAGCACGACAAGGUUAAUCCGAGUGUUUCCUGCUAAAGGGAUCUUUUGUCGGUCCUAAAAACACCGACGAAUAAGGGGUGGGCAAGUUCUGGUGUCAGCCGCCGCGGUAAAACCAGCACCUCAAGUGGUCAGGAGGAUUAUUGGGCCUAAAGCAUCCGUAGCCGGCUGUGUAAGUUUUCGGUUAAAUCUAUAUGCUCAACAUAUAGGCUGCCGGGAAUACUGCACAGCUAGGGAGUGGGAGAGGUAGACGGUACUCGAUAGGAAGGGGUAAAAUCCUUUGAUCUAUUGAUGACCACCUGUGGCGAAGGCGGUCUACUAGAACACGUCCGACGGUGAGGGAUGAAAGCUGGGGGAGCAAACCGGAUUAGAUACCCGGGUAGUCCCAGCUGUAAACAAUGCAAACUCAGUGAUGCACUGGAUUGUGUCCAGUGCAGUGCCGCAGGGAAGCCGUUAAGUUUGCCGCCUGGGAAGUACGUACGCAAGUAUGAAACUUAAAGGAAUUGGCGGGGGAGCACCACAAGGGGUGAAGCCUGCGGUUC